UCAGUAUGGCAGACUAGUGCAAUUGACUUAAGCUCAAUACAAGAUUUUUUCUACUGAUA
RNAcentral lists this transfer RNA (59 nucleotides) under Trichinella zimbabwensis. RNAcentral describes it as "tRNA-Leu". The record is from RNAcentral. Lineage: Eukaryota; Metazoa; Nematoda; Enoplea; Trichinellida; Trichinellidae.